CCCAGUUCAGGGAGGUAGUGACAAUAAAUACCUUACAGAGGUCUCGUUAACCGAGAUCUCUCAAACGGAAUGAGUACAACGUGAAUCCUUUAACGAGGAUCGACUGGAGGGCAAGCCUGGUGCCAGCAGCCGCGGUAAUUCCAGCUCCAGUAGCGUAUAUUAAAGCUGUUGCGGUUAAAAAGCUCGUAGUUGGAUAUCAGUGCGUGUCCGGUCCGGUAUGCCUGGCGGCGUCGCUCACGCGUCGCUGCUGGGCUCCCAAAUAUCGGCUGGCCGCAUUCAAUCGUGCCGGAUCCGUCGACGGGCCGUUUUUCGGAGGGGCCUGUUGGCGACCGGCGACGUUACCUUGAACAAAUUAGAGUGCUCAAAGCAGGCUCUGAAUGCCUGUAUACAUAUUCAUGGAAUUGGAGAAUACGUCCCUGGCUCGAUUUGGUUGGUUUUGAGAGUCGAAGGGAAAUGAUUAAUAGGGACUGACGGAGGCAUUCGUAUUGCGACGCGAGGGGUGAAAUCCUGUGACCGUCGCACGACGAACUACUGCGAAAGCAUUUGCCGAGAAUGUUUUCAUUAGUCAAGAACGAAAGUUAGAGGUUCGAAGGCGAUCAGAUACCGCCCUAGUUCUAACCGUAAACGAUGUCGACCAGCAAUCCGCAACGGUCACUACACGGACUGUGCGGGCAGCUUCCCCGGGGAAACCAGAGUUUUUGGACUCCGGGGGAAGUAUGGUUGCAAAGCUGAAACUUAAAGGAAUUGACGGAAGGGCACCACCAGGAGUGGAGCUUGCGGCUUAAUUUGACUCAACACGGGACAACUCACCAGGCCCGGACACCGUAAGGAUUGACAGACUGAUAGCUCUCUCUUGAUUCAGUGGGUGGUGGUGCAUGGCCGUUCUUAGUUGGUGGAGUGAUUUGUCUGGUUUAUUCCGAUAACGAACGAGACUCUGGCCUAUUAAACUUGACGCUGUCAGUCUCUUGUGACUGCGGCGCGCUUCUUAGAGGGAUCAUCGGCGUCCCAGCCGAAGGAAAGGGAGCAAUAACAGGUCUGUGAUGCCCUUAGAUGUUCUGGGCUGCACGCGUGUUACACUGAAGUGGUCAGCGCGCCGUUCAACGUCCCUCUCCGUGAGGAGCGGGCAAACGUUUGAACCCUUUUCGUGAUGGGAAUUGGGGGUUGCAAUUGUCCCCCAUGAACGAGGAAUUCCAAGUAAGCGCAAGUCACUAGCUUGCGUUGAUUAAGUCCCUGCCCUUUGUACACACCGCCCGUCGCUACUACCGAUGGAUGAUUUGGUGAGGUCGCCUA
Molecule: ribosomal RNA, 1290 nt
Filed under: Tetraclita milleporosa
Lineage: Eukaryota; Metazoa; Arthropoda; Thecostraca; Balanomorpha; Tetraclitidae
Description: SSU rRNA
Rfam family: Eukaryotic small subunit ribosomal RNA
Source: RNAcentral